GGCCUAACACAUGCAAGUCGAGCGGAAACGACACUAACAAUCCUUCGGGUGCGUUAAUGGGCGUCGAGCGGCGGACGGGUGAGUAAUGCCUAGGAAAUUGCCUUGAUGUGGGGGAUAACCAUUGGAAACGAUGGCUAAUACCGCAUAAUGCCUACGGGCCAAAGAGGGGGACCUUCGGGCCUCUCGCGUCAAGAUAUGCCUAGGUGGGAUUAGCUAGUUGGUGAGGUAAUGGCUCACCAAGGCGACGAUCCCUAGCUGGUCUGAGAGGAUGAUCAGCCACACUGGAACUGAGACACGGUCCAGACUCCUACGGGAGGCAGCAGUGGGGAAUAUUGCACAAUGGGCGAAAGCCUGAUGCAGCCAUGCCGCGUGUAUGAAGAAGGCCUUCGGGUUGUAAAGUACUUUCAGUUGUGAGGAAGGGGGUAGCGUUAAUAGCGCUAUCUCUUGACGUUAGCAACAGAAGAAGCACCGGCUAACUCCGUGCCAGCAGCCGCGGUAAUACGGAGGGUGCGAGCGUUAAUCGGAAUUACUGGGCGUAAAGCGCAUGCAGGUGGUUCAUUAAGUCAGAUGUGAAAGCCCGGGGCUCAACCUCGGAACUGCAUUUGAAACUGGUGAACUAGAGUACUGUAGAGGGGGGUAGAAUUUCAGGUGUAGCGGUGAAAUGCGUAGAGAUCUGAAGGAAUACCAGUGGCGAAGGCGGCCCCCUGGACAGAUACUGACACUCAGAUGCGAAAGCGUGGGGAGCGAACAGGAUUAGA
Molecule: ribosomal RNA, 758 nt
Filed under: Vibrio sp. UCH-34
Lineage: Bacteria; Pseudomonadati; Pseudomonadota; Gammaproteobacteria; Vibrionales; Vibrionaceae
Description: bacterial SSU rRNA
Rfam family: Bacterial small subunit ribosomal RNA
Source: RNAcentral